GAUGAACGCUGGCGGCGUGCUUAACACAUGCAAGUCGAACGGGAAAUAUUUCAUUGAGACUUCGGUGGAUUUGAAUUAUGUCUAGGGGCGGACGGGGGAGUAACGCGUGGGUAACCUGCCUUAUACAGGGGGAUAACAGUCAGAAAUGGCUGCUAAUACCGCAUAAGCGCACAGCGCUGCAUGGCUCAGUGUGGAAAACUCCGGUGGUAUAAGAUGGACCCGCGUUGGAGUAGCUAGUUGGUGGGGUAACGGCCCACCAAGGCGACGAUCCAUAGCCGGCCUGAGAGGGUGAACGGCCACAUUGGGACUGAGACACGGCCCAGACUCCUACGGGAAGCAGCAGUGGGGAAUAUUGCACAAUGGGGGAAACCCUGAUGCAGCGACGCCGCGUGAACGAAGAAGUAUCUCGGUAUGUAAACCUCUAUCAGCAGGGAAGAUAGUGACGGUACCUGACUAAGAAGCCCCGGCUAACUACGUG
RNAcentral lists this ribosomal RNA (478 nucleotides) under uncultured bacterium. Its description in RNAcentral is "partial 16S ribosomal RNA". It matches the Rfam family "Bacterial small subunit ribosomal RNA", at positions 28 to 507 of the family's 1533-position model. The record is from RNAcentral.